This 120-nucleotide ribosomal RNA is filed under the name Neogale vison (American mink). Lineage: Eukaryota; Metazoa; Chordata; Mammalia; Carnivora; Mustelidae. The record is from RNAcentral.
GUCUACGGCCAUACCACCCUGAACGCGCCCGAUCUCAUCUGAUCUCGGAAGCUAAGCAGGGUCGGGCCUGGUUAGUACUUGGAUGGGAGAGUGCUCCAGGGAAGGAGGGAGAUGUCACCU